Molecule: transfer RNA, 65 nt
Filed under: Ateuchotermes sp. TB-2014
Lineage: Eukaryota; Metazoa; Arthropoda; Insecta; Blattodea; Termitidae
Description: tRNA-Phe
Source: RNAcentral
ACUUGAAUAGCUUAUUUAGAGCGCAACAUUGAAGAUGUUGAUGAGGCGUAUAGUGCCUUUGGGUA